Molecule: ribosomal RNA, 512 nt
Filed under: uncultured bacterium
Lineage: Bacteria
Description: bacterial SSU rRNA
Rfam family: Bacterial small subunit ribosomal RNA
Source: RNAcentral
CGCUGGCGGCGUGCCUAAUACAUGCAAGUCGAACGGUCUUUCUAUGGAAGCUUGCUUCCACUGAGAAGAUAGUGGCGAACGGGUGAGUAACACGUGGGUAACCUGCCCAUAAGAGGGGGAUAACAUCCGGAAACGGGUGCUAAUACCGCAUAGUUUUCUUGAUCGCAUGAUUGAGAAAGGAAAGACGGCCUUUGUGCUGUCGCUUAUGGAUGGACCCGCGGCGUAUUAGUUAGUUGGUGAGGUAACGGCUCACCAAGACGAUGAUACGUAGCCGACCUGAGAGGGUGAUCGGCCACAUUGGGACUGAGACACGGCCCAAACUCCUACGGGAGGCAGCAGUAGGGAAUCUUCCGCAAUGGACGAAAGUCUGACGGAGCAACGCCGCGUGAGUGAAGAAGGUUUUUCCGGAUCGUAAAACUCUGUUGUCAGAGAAGAACAAGUUGGAGAGUAACUGCUCCAGCCUUGACGGUAUCUGACCAGAAAGCCACGGCUAACUACGUGCCAGCCGCUGC